AUCAUCUGGGGAUCUUGUUACAACACAGUUUCCAAUUUGGUACAUCUACAGCAGGGUCUAAGAUUCUGUAUUUAUAACAAGCUCCCAGGUGAUGCCAA
This 98-nucleotide microRNA precursor is filed under the name Oryctolagus cuniculus (rabbit). Its description in RNAcentral is "mir-544 microRNA precursor family". It matches the Rfam family "mir-544 microRNA precursor family". Lineage: Eukaryota; Metazoa; Chordata; Mammalia; Lagomorpha; Leporidae. The record is from Rfam by way of RNAcentral.